RNAcentral lists this ribosomal RNA (253 nucleotides) under uncultured bacterium. RNAcentral's name for it is "partial 16S ribosomal RNA". It matches the Rfam family "Bacterial small subunit ribosomal RNA", at positions 524 to 776 of the family's 1533-position model. The record is from RNAcentral.
UACGAACUGUGCGAACGUUAUUCGGAAUCACUGGGCUUACAGGGUGCGUAGGCGGCUUGUUAAGUAGGGUGUGAAAGCCCCCGGCUCAACCGGGGAAUUGCGCCCUAAACUGGCGAGCUGGAGUGAGAUAGGGGUGUGUGGAACUUCCGGUGGAGCGGUGAAAUGCGUAGAGAUCGGAAAGAACACCAACGGCGAAAGCACUCUGCUGGGCCGACACUGACACUGAGAGACGAAAGCUAGGGGAGCGAAUGGG